CAGCCGCCGCGGUAAUACCGGCGGCCCGAGUGGCGGCCACUAUUAUUGGGCCUAAAGCGUCCGUAGCCGGGCUGGUAAGUCCUCCGGGAAAUCUGGUCGCUUAACGAUCAGACUUCCGGAGGAUACUGCUGGCCUAGGGACCGGGAGAGGCCGAGGGUAUUCCCGGGGUAGGGGGGAAAUCCUGUAAUCCCGGGAGGACCACCUGUGGCGAAGGCGCUCGGCUGGAACGGGUCCGACGGUGAGGGACGAAGGCCAGGGGAGCGAACCGGAUUAGAUACCCGGGUAGUCCUGGCUGUAAACGAUGCGGACUAGGUGUCGGGCAAGCUAAGGGCUUGUCCGGUGCCGCAGGGAAGCCGUUAAGUCCGCCGCCUGGGGAGUACGGCCGCAAGGCUGAAACUUAAAGGAAUUGGCGGG
This 414-nucleotide ribosomal RNA is filed under the name uncultured microorganism. RNAcentral describes it as "bacterial SSU rRNA". It matches the Rfam family "Archaeal small subunit ribosomal RNA", at positions 459 to 872 of the family's 1478-position model. The record is from RNAcentral.